GGCAGUUCCUGGGGGAGCCCUGUAUGGGCUGAGAUUCCGCAAUUUUUCUUGCGGUAACCCUUUGAACCUGAUCCGGGUAAUGCCGGCGAAGGGAAGGAAGCUCAAUACAUC
This is a non-coding RNA of 111 nucleotides. It matches the Rfam family "TPP riboswitch aptamer (THI element)". From Rfam's summary of the family: Vitamin B(1) in its active form thiamin pyrophosphate (TPP) is an essential coenzyme that is synthesised by coupling of pyrimidine and thiazole moieties in bacteria. The previously detected thiamin-regulatory element, thi box was extended, resulting in a new, highly conserved RNA secondary structure, the THI element, which is widely distributed in eubacteria and also occurs in some archaea. Analysis of operon structures identified a large number of new candidate thiamin-regulated genes, mostly transporters, in various prokaryotic organisms.